CUGGCAGUAAACGGUGCACGUUUGGUGUGGGAGGAUUCGACCCCUUCCGUGCCGGAGCUAACGCGUUAAGCGUGCCGCCUGGGAAGUACGGUCGCAAGAUUAAAACUCAAAGAAAUUGACGGGGACCCGCACAAGCGGUGGAGUAUGUGGCUUAAUUCGAUGCAACGCGAAGAACCUUACCUGGUCUUGACAUGCAUCCUGUCGUUAGUGAAAGCUAGCUAGUGUAGCAAUACACGGUUUGCACAGGUGC
Molecule: ribosomal RNA, 250 nt
Filed under: uncultured bacterium
Lineage: Bacteria
Description: partial 16S ribosomal RNA
Rfam family: Bacterial small subunit ribosomal RNA
Source: RNAcentral